This 477-nucleotide ribosomal RNA is filed under the name uncultured organism. Its description in RNAcentral is "partial 16S ribosomal RNA". It matches the Rfam family "Bacterial small subunit ribosomal RNA", at positions 330 to 798 of the family's 1533-position model. The record is from RNAcentral.
CGUACACUCCUACGGGAGGCAGCAGUGGGGAAUAUUGCACAAUGGGCGCAAGCCUGAUGCAGCCAUGCCGCGUGUAUGAAGAAGGCCUUCGGGUUGUAAAGUACUUUCAGCGGGGAGGAAGGCGAUAAGGUUAAUAACCUUGUUGAUUGACGUUACCCGCAGAAGAAGCACCGGCUAACUCCGUGCCAGCAGCCGCGGUAAUACGGAGGGUGCAAGCGUUAAUCGGAAUUACUGGGCGUAAAGCGCACGCAGGCGGUCUGUCAAGUCGGAUGUGAAAUCCCCGGGCUCAACCUGGGAACUGCAUUCGAAACUGGCAGGCUAGAGUCUUGUAGAGGGGGGUAGAAUUCCAGGUGUAGCGGUGAGAUGCGUAGAGAUCUGGAGGAAUACCGGUGGCGAAGGCGGCCCCCUGGACAAAGACUGACGCUCAGGUGCGAAAGCGUGGGGAGCAAACAGGAUUAGAUACCCGAGUAGUCCCAU